RNAcentral lists this ribosomal RNA (260 nucleotides) under uncultured bacterium. RNAcentral's name for it is "partial 16S ribosomal RNA". It matches the Rfam family "Bacterial small subunit ribosomal RNA", at positions 524 to 777 of the family's 1533-position model. The record is from RNAcentral.
UACGUAGGGGGCAAGCGUUAUCCGGAAUUAUUGGGCGUAAAGAGCUCGUAGGCGGUUUGUCGCGUCUGCCGUGAAAGUCCGGGGCUCAACUCCGGAUCUGCGGUGGGUACGGGCAGACUAGAGGUGAUGUAGGGGAGACUGGAAUUCCUGGAUGUAGCGGUGAAAUGCGCAGAUAUCGGGAAGAACACCCGUGGCGAAGGCGGCUCUCUGGGACGGUACUGAACGCGUGAGACGCGAAAAGCGUGGGGAAGCGAACGAGG